UAGAUCCCAGAAGGGAGAACCUCUGAUCCGCCCGCCGCGUGAGUGAUGAAGGCCUUCGGGUCGUAAAGCUCUUUGAUUGGAGACAAUAACGAUGGUAUCCAAAGAACAAGCCCCGGCUAACUCUGUGCCAGCAGCCGCGGUAAUACAGAGGGGGCUAGCGUUGUUCGGAAUUACUGGGCGUAAAGCGUGCGUAGGCGGCCUAAUAAGUCAGAAGUGAAAGCCCAAGGCUUAACCUUGGAAUCGCUUUUGAUACUGCUAGGCUUGAAGGUGGUAGAGGAUAGUGGAAUUCUUAGUGUAGGAGUGAAAUCCGUAGAUAUUAAGAGGAACACCAGUGGCGAAGGCGACUAUCUGGACCAUUCUUGACGCUGAGGUACGAAA
RNAcentral lists this ribosomal RNA (378 nucleotides) under uncultured bacterium. Its description in RNAcentral is "bacterial SSU rRNA". It matches the Rfam family "Bacterial small subunit ribosomal RNA", at positions 359 to 758 of the family's 1533-position model. The record is from RNAcentral.